GAUGAACGCUGGCGGCGUGCCUAAUACAUGCAAGUCGAGCGAACGGACGAGAAGCUUGCUUCUCUGAUGUUAGCGGCGGACGGGUGAGUAACACGUGGAUAACCUACCUAUAAGACUGGGAUAACUUCGGGAAACCGUAGCUAAUACCGGAUAAUAUUUUGAACCGCAUGGUUCAAAAGUGAAAGACGGUCUUGCUGUCACUUAUAGAUGGAUCCGCGCUGCAUUAGCUAGUUGGUAAGGUAACGGCUUACCAAGGCAACGAUGCAUAGCCGACCUGAGAGGGUGAUCGGCCACACUGGAACUGAGACACGGUCCAGACGCCUACGGGAGGCAGCAGUAGGGAAUCUUCCGCAAAGGGCGAAAGCCUGACGGAGCAACGCCGCGUGAGUGAUGAAGGUCUUCGGAUCGUAAAACUCUGUUAUGAGGGAAGAACAUAUGUGUAAGUAACUGUGCACAUCUUGACGGUACCUAAUCAGAAAGCCACGGCUAACUACGUG
Molecule: ribosomal RNA, 497 nt
Filed under: uncultured bacterium
Lineage: Bacteria
Description: partial 16S ribosomal RNA
Rfam family: Bacterial small subunit ribosomal RNA
Source: RNAcentral